UCCUACGGGAGGCAGCAGUGGGGAAUUUUGGACAAUGGGCGCAAGCCUGAUCCAGCAAUGCCGCGUGUGUGAAGAAGGCCUUCGGGUUGUAAAGCACUUUUGUCCGGAAAGAAAACUUCGUCCCUAAUAUGGAUGGAGGAUGACGGUACCGGAAGAAUAAGCACCGGCUAACUACGUGCCAGCAGCCGCGGUAAUACGUAGGGUGCGAGCGUUAAUCGGAAUUACUGGGCGUAAAGCGUGCGCAGGCGGUUCGCUAAGACCGAUGUGAAAUCCCCGGGCUUAACCUGGGAACUGCAUUGGUGACUGGCGGGCUAGAGUAUGGCAGAGGGGGGUAGAAUUCCACGUGUAGCAGUGAAAUGCGUAGAGAUGUGGAGGAAUACCGAUGGCGAAGGCAGCCCCCUGGGCCAAUACUGACGCUCAUGCACGAAAGCGUGGGGAGCAAACAGGAUUAGAUACCCUGGUAGUCCACGCCCUAAACGAUGUCAACUAGUUGUCGGGUCUUCAUUGACUUGGUAACGUAGCUAACGCGUGAAGUUGACCGCCUGGGGAGUACGGUCGCAAGAUUAAAACUCAAAGGAAUUGACGGGGACGCGCACAAGCGGUGGAUGAUGUGGACUAAUUCGAUGCAACGUGCAAACCUUACA
Molecule: ribosomal RNA, 644 nt
Filed under: uncultured bacterium
Lineage: Bacteria
Description: bacterial SSU rRNA
Rfam family: Bacterial small subunit ribosomal RNA
Source: RNAcentral